GGUCUAGUAGUGUAGCGGUUAUCACCCGGGAUUCUGAUUCCCGUAACCCAGGUUCGAUUCCUGGCUUGACCU
This 72-nucleotide transfer RNA is filed under the name Schizophyllum commune H4-8. Its description in RNAcentral is "tRNA-Gln (CTG) (tRNA-Gln-CTG-4-1)". It matches the Rfam family "tRNA". Rfam says of the family: Transfer RNA (tRNA) molecules are approximately 80 nucleotides in length. Their secondary structure includes four short double-helical elements and three loops (D, anti-codon, and T loops). Further hydrogen bonds mediate the characteristic L-shaped molecular structure. tRNAs have two regions of fundamental functional importance: the anti-codon, which is responsible for specific mRNA codon recognition, and the 3' end, to which the tRNAs corresponding amino acid is attached (by aminoacyl-tRNA synthetases). tRNAs cope with the degeneracy of the genetic code in two manners: having more than one tRNA (with a specific anti-codon) for a particular amino acid; and 'wobble' base-pairing, i.e. permitting non-standard base-pairing at the 3rd anti-codon position. The record is from RNAcentral. Lineage: Eukaryota; Fungi; Basidiomycota; Agaricomycetes; Agaricales; Schizophyllaceae.